Theobroma cacao (cacao) is the source of this 268-nucleotide non-coding RNA. NCBI's taxonomy places the organism in Eukaryota, Viridiplantae, Streptophyta, Magnoliopsida, Malvales, Malvaceae. The record is from RefSeq and is a predicted model, not a curated record.
AUUCAAGAGAAACUGUUGGAUUUCAAGGAAUCAAACAAGGUGGUGAGCCCUCUGGUAAGGGUAAGGAUAUCGUACCCGAGAAUCAAAAAUAGGAGUACUCCAUACUCUUGUUAUUCUUACUGUAGUGGGCGGGUUUCCGUAGAUCAGCCUAUUAGAGGGGCACAGUAAACCCGGUGAUAUAUUACCUUGGUACGAAAGGCGCAGAGGGUAUCUCCUAAGGUAACGUUAGAGUUCACUUCACGUCGAACCACCACAUGAAGGUGAAACU